AGAAUCAACGCUGGCGGCGUGCCUAACACAUGCAAGUCGAACGAGAAAGUGGGAGCAAUCCCAUUAGUAAAGUGGCGCACGGGUGAGUAACACGUGACUAACCUACCCUUGAGUGGGGGAUAACCUAGGGAAACCUGGGCUAAUACCGCAUAAUACCUACGGGUCAAAGGAGCAAUUCGCUUUAGGAGGGGUCGCGGCAGAUUAGUUAGUUGGCGGGGUAAUGGCCCACCAAGACAGUGAUCUGUA
This 246-nucleotide ribosomal RNA is filed under the name uncultured bacterium. RNAcentral's name for it is "partial small subunit ribosomal RNA". It matches the Rfam family "Bacterial small subunit ribosomal RNA", at positions 26 to 285 of the family's 1533-position model. The record is from RNAcentral.